RNAcentral lists this ribosomal RNA (594 nucleotides) under Hanseniaspora uvarum. RNAcentral's name for it is "eukaryotic LSU rRNA". It matches the Rfam family "Eukaryotic large subunit ribosomal RNA", at positions 50 to 658 of the family's 3401-position model. The record is from RNAcentral. Lineage: Eukaryota; Fungi; Ascomycota; Saccharomycetes; Saccharomycodales; Saccharomycodaceae.
GCGGAGGAAAAGAAACCAACUGGGAUUACCUUAGUAACGGCGAGUGAAGCGGUAAAAGCUCAAAUUUGAAAUCUGGUACUUUCAGUGCCCGAGUUGUAAUUUGUAGAAUUUGUCUUUGAUUAGGUCCUUGUCUAUGUUCCUUGGAACAGGACGUCAUAGAGGGUGAGAAUCCCGUUUGGCGAGGAUACCUUUUCUCUGUAAGACUUUUUCGAAGAGUCGAGUUGUUUGGGAAUGCAGCUCAAAGUGGGUGGUAAAUUCCAUCUAAAGCUAAAUAUUGGCGAGAGACCGAUAGCGAACAAGUACAGUGAUGGAAAGAUGAAAAGAACUUUGAAAAGAGAGUGAAAAAGUACGUGAAAUUGUUGAAAGGGAAGGGCAUUUGAUCAGACAUGGUGUUUUUUGCAUGCACUCGCCUCUCGUGGGCUUGGGCCUCUCAAAAAUUUCACUGGGCCAACAUCAAUUCUGGCAGCAGGAUAAAUCAUUAAGAAUGUAGCUACUUCGGUAGUGUUAUAGCUUUUUGGAAUACUGUUAGCCGGGAUUGAGGACUGCGCUUCGGCAAGGAUGUUGGCAUAAUGGUUAAAUGCCGCCCGUCUUGAC